AGGGAAUCUUCGGCAAUGGGGGCAACCCUGACCGAGCAACGCCGCGUGAGUGAAGAAGGUUUUCGGAUCGUAAAGCUCUGUUGUAAGUCAAGAACGGGUGUGAGAGUGGAAAGUUCACACUGUGACGGUAGCUUACCAGAAAGGGACGGCUAACUACGUGCCAGCAGCCGCGGUAAUACGUAGGUCCCGAGCGUUGUCCGGAUUUAUUGGGCGUAAAGCGAGCGCAGGCGGUUUGAUAAGUCUGAAGUUAAAGGCUGUGGCUCAACCAUAGUUCGCUUUGGAAACUGUCAAACUUGAGUGCAGAAGGGGAGGGUGGAAUUCCAUGUGUAGCGGUGAAAUGCGUAGAUAUAUGGAGGAACACCGGUGGCGAAAGCGGCUCUCUGGUCUGUAACUGACGCUGAGGCUCGAAAGCGUGGGGAGCGAACAGGAUUGGAUACCCUGGUAGUCCACGCCGUAAACGAUGAGUGCUAGGUGUUGGAUCCUUCCGGGAUUCAGUGCCGCAGCUAACGCAUUAAGCACUCCGCCUGGGGAGUACGACCGCAAGGUUGAAAC
RNAcentral lists this ribosomal RNA (552 nucleotides) under uncultured bacterium. Its description in RNAcentral is "partial 16S ribosomal RNA". It matches the Rfam family "Bacterial small subunit ribosomal RNA", at positions 356 to 900 of the family's 1533-position model. The record is from RNAcentral.